RNAcentral lists this unclassified non-coding RNA (2185 nucleotides) under Homo sapiens (human). RNAcentral describes it as "novel transcript (ENSG00000281693.1)". The record is from RNAcentral. Lineage: Eukaryota; Metazoa; Chordata; Mammalia; Primates; Hominidae.
UUUCUGUAGAGCCGGCGUUUUGCCCUGUUGCCCAGGAGUUUUUCCUUUAAUGUUCUCCUGCUACUUACUAAUUCACUUUGUCACCCUGUGAGCUCAUAAGAGCAGAGAGAUAGCAACAGGAGCUAAAAAAACUCUAAGCUGUGAAAAAAUAUUAAAUAUGAAAUCAUGAUAGCUAUUAGCUUAAUUUGUUUUAGGCAAAUUGCAAAGUAAUUUUUUGGGAAUCAGUGUCCCACUGCAGUGAUUCCAUAUGGGGAUUCCUAAUUCCCAGUAUGUUUUUAAAAUAAUUUGUAAACACCUAGUACAAACGCAUGAUAUGAAAUUCAAGAGGUGGGAGGAUCACCUGAGCCCAGGAGGUUGAGACUUGCAGUGAGCUGAGUUCACACCACUGCACUCGAGCCUUGAUGACAGAAUGAGACUGUCUCAAAAAAAAAAAAAAAAAAAAAAAUUGUCCUUAAGUCCAUGUGGACCCCUGACUAGGUUUGUGCCCUAGACAGCCUUCCUCUGAGGGCAGUUCAGGUGGUGAGACUCCAGCUUUAAAUGGCCUCUAGAGAAAUUUCACUAACCUGCCUUGGUGUUUGACCCUGUAUAACCCCUUUCUUCUGGAGGUCCCUUUGGGUGGCAGUAGAUACGGGAUUUGGUGUCUGACAGCUCUGGGGACAGAUCCCAGCUCCAAAUGGCAGAGUCUCUACAGAUUACAAGCCAAAUACUUAGCACUAUGUGCUGAUCUUCAGGAAGUCAGUCUAUAUUUCAUAACAAGUCACAUGGGGAUAAUGAAGGAAUGGCCUAAAAUGCUCUCAGUAAUAUUCCUGAGUCAUCCCUCAGGGCUAGGCUUGGUGUUAGGCAUGGCGGGGAAGGGAGCAGAGCUGUGUGCAGAGGAAGAUGCAGUUCUUGCCUUGUCAGGGUCCCUGACCUGAUGGCGACCCAUGGUGGAGUCUUCAUAGUGACAGACACCACUGUAAAAGCAGAUCCAGGUUGUGCAACCCUCAAAGCAGGUCUCCUCACUCACCGGGAUAGAUAGACUAUUGGCCGUACCUGCAUCCACCGCUUGCCAUGGUUUCGUUGUGGGUGGAGGAUACUUUCCUGUCCCCUGGCUUUGGGUUUGCCCACGUGGCUUGCUCUGGCCUUGGAAUGAAGCAGAAACGAAAGGCUGCCAGUUCCGAGCCCACGUCUGAAGUCGCCUUAGGUGGUUCCGCGGGCCCCGUGCGCUCCCACCUUCACCCAGAGGGCCUUCUCUGGUGCAGCCGCUGCUUCUUCAGCCUCCGCCCAAAAGGAACGGAGCCCCCUGGCCGAUCCGCAGGCCUACAGGGAGCCACAGAGCGCAGCGGCUGGACCAGCGUUCAAGCCCAAGCACAGGCCUGCGAGAACCUUGUUCCAGCCGCCGUUUAGGAUGGUUGAUUAGGACGCGUUGCAGUGGCGGUAGCUCACCAAUCCAGUGCGUGCACCCGCUCCUUUAUUAGGCUAUAGAGCCAGUGGCUCCCACAGGGACCUGAUACAACAGUGCGUUAAAUAAGGAGCAUAUUGAGCUCUCAUGUCGUAAGCCAGUGGAGAAGUCCAGGGCUAGUGUGGGGGCUCCGGCGGGGGCUGUGGCCCCCAUCCGCAUGGAGCCUCCCCAUGGUUCACAGGUCUCAGUCUUCGGAGCCUUCGGCCCUGCGAGCCCGAACAGUCCACAGGGCGGCGCCAGACCCUCUUUCGAACGCCAUCCUCUAAAGCCUCGGCUCCAACCGGUUCCACUUCUUCAGGCUCAGGAUUUUCACUCUUCUCGAAUGGGGGUGGCCCUCCCCCAAUCUUCUGAGUCGCAACAGCAUCUCCCUCCCUCCAGGACCUCAGAGCCAGAGCUGGGCGAGAGGCCCUGACCUCCGGGGUAGGGUGGAAGCGUCCCUGUGAAGGUGCAGUCCUGCCUCCCAUCCCCAGGCGCCGGGCCUCUCCCACCCUCAGCGCCCUGCUCACCUCCAGCUGAAGAUGCCAGGGCACCUCUGCUUCCUCCCUGCCCUCUCUGCAGUACCGCCGAGUGUGCAUAAAAGGGUUUAAUAUAGGCUUUGCCGGGCGCGGGGACUCCCACCUGUAAUCCCAGUACGUUGAGAGACCAAGGCGGGAGGAUCACUUGAGGCCAGGAGUUCAAAACCAGCCUGGGCAACAAAGUGAGGCCCGUCUCUGAAAAAAAAAAAAAAAAAAAAAAAAGAAUAAA